This 817-nucleotide long non-coding RNA is filed under the name Danio rerio (zebrafish). Its description in RNAcentral is "lncRNA (ENSDARG00000117261.1)". Lineage: Eukaryota; Metazoa; Chordata; Actinopteri; Cypriniformes; Danionidae. The record is from RNAcentral.
AUGAUGAAUGGAACCUUCCAAAUCAUCCGCCUUUAUUUCGCCGAGUUCACGAGCUACGACUGGAUUUCCUGGUUCACGCUGAAACUGAGUCCAGUCCUUUCCAGCUUGACUGCAGAGAUGCUCCAGACAGUAACAUCAUAUACCGACUGCAACGCAUACCACAUCAUCGUCGGGGCUCUGAGCAGCCACUUUGAGCAGAUGACAUCGCUGAGACAGCAGGAGCUCACCGCAGUCCUGUUGGGCUACCUAAAGCAGAGUCAGGCAUCAGGUAGGUCCAGCAUAGGCAGCGCUUGUUUGUCUUGUGGGCUAAAUAAAAUAUCAAUUCUUGGUGUCUGUGCAUCUUCGUCCGUCCUAACGAGUCUCUUUUGCACGUCCCUGUCGCAGGCUCAACCUGUGGGUCCGACACCAGCAGCCUCAGUGUUUGGCUUGAAGAGAGCUUUGGCAAAUUCUCUGUCUACGUGGACUACCAAGACCUGCGUGCACUCAACGAGGCAUUUGGAAGUGUAAGGGGCCCACCGUGCCACUUGGUUGUUCUGGUGACUGCUUUGAGCAAGCACGUUGUUUCUACAGACGUUGUUGUUGUUGUUUUCUCUUCUGCAGUUCCAGGCACUGGACCUUCUGAGUGCCUCUCAAGUUGCUCAGCUGACCCUAACAUCUGGAGCGCUGAACAACGCAGAUCUGAUCACCAUGGUCUUUGAGCGUCUUGACGGCAGCAAUGCUUUCCAGGAUGUGGACCAGUUCUUGACGGUUCUCACCCAGACCUCGCAGGUACGUUCCCAUCCAUGAGAUGGCAAGCGCGCAGCUGUUCCGCUUUGUU